Molecule: long non-coding RNA, 1661 nt
Organism: Canis lupus familiaris (dog)
Lineage: Eukaryota; Metazoa; Chordata; Mammalia; Carnivora; Canidae
Exons: 3
Source: RefSeq, a predicted model, not a curated record
UGGGGGAGUGGGGCCUAGCACACCUAAGUUUAGGAACACAAAUGGAAGGUAUCAGACCUCUCUCCCUCUCAGCUCUACCUCUUUCAGUGUGAUAGCCUCAUUCUCUCUGAGUGAAGAAAGAUCUUAGUUGCAGAAAAUUCUAACCAUCAUCCCAACACAUCCAGAAAAUUCCAGAGAAGGACUCCAAGUGGUCCUGCUUCACUCACAUGUCCAUAUGUGUCCAAUAACUGUGGUCUACAGAUGGGGCCAGGCUCCAUGGCCAGGCUCUGGUAACAUGCCCACACUCAUGGCUUAGUGGAACAGAGUGCCAAGAAUAGAAAAAUGGGCAUUUCUGUAAGGAAAAGGAAUACUAGGAAAAGGGUGGAAGGGAAAGUUGGCAGACAAAAUGAUAGAUAUCUACCUCAAAAAUUGGUUUUCUUGGGCAGCCCCGGUGGCUCAGCGGUUUAGCACCACUUUCACCUGGGGUGUGAUCCUGGAGACCCGGGAUCGGGCCCCACGUCGGGCUCCCUGCAUGGAGCCUGCUUCUCUCUCUCUAUCUCUGUCUCUCAUGAAUAAAUAAAAUAAAAUCUUUAAAAAAAAUUGGUUUUCUUCAAUUUACACUUACCUCUUAACAGUUUCUCCUGGUCCCCUAAAAGCGGAAAAGAAAAUUUAUCUAUACUUGUAUAUACACACAGAAGAAUGAAAAGAGACCCAGAGAAUGCUCAAAAAUCUACCAGUCAGCAUUACAGAGAAAUCUCUGCUUCCAGAGAAUGAGAUUCCGGAAAUCUCUUGACUUCCAAAGUCAAGUCAGAGAGUGAUAAAUUCGAGCAGGUUAUGGGAGCUUAGAUUUCAUAAUUUGGCUGAUGCUUCCAAAAGGAGUUUUAAGGAAACUUCCCACCCUACUCAGCAUGAGUGUAUCCUUCAAGCUGGGGAAUCCUGCAAAACCUGACAGCACAUUCAGUGCAAACAGUCUUUAAUGAAUAGCAAGAGGCAAAAACCAUUAAUCAAGUACUACCUGCACGAGAACCCGCUGUGGAGAGUUCUGCUGAAAUAUGUCAUGGCCAGUGCAGCUCAAGUGGACUAGAAGGCAGCAGCAGACACACCCUGCAGGGACAAGAGUGGACCAAGCUGAAAGACUCACAGCCUGGUCAUUUGGUGUGGUGUUUUGUUGCUUUCUCCUUUGCCUUUUUUUUUUUUUUUUUUAACCCUAGAGAAGAAUGGAGAAAUGAGAAUAUCCAGGGAAGAGCUUACUUGUUGCCAUCUUAUUCCCCAAGUUCUUUCUUCCUUCCAAUAUAGUUCUUGGCUUCGCUGAUCUUACUUCAUUCUUUUCAUAGGAGCUCCAUACCCAUUAUCCCUACCUGGUUCCUUCUUGCCCUGCAGAGAACCCUAAAGCACCCCAGAAAUGAGUUCACUGGGGCUUGAUGCUUUCUCCACUCUACAGGAUUUUCAAGCUGACUACAGCCUUGAAAGUUGCCCAAGCAUAUGAAAUCAUGUCACUAAACGGUUACACACCCAGACUCCAGAGCUCAGCUACAAAUCUCAAUGCCACCACUUACUAAUUCUAUGUAGAAGCAUGUUAGAUUUAAAACUGUCCCAGUUCCCAAAUCUGUAAAAUAGAGGAGGUCCAAAGAUACAGAUGCAGUGAAACGCCGGGACACCUGCACCCUGAUGUUUAUAGCAGC